AUACGUAGGGGGCAAGCGUUGUCCGGAAUUACUGGGCGUAAAGCGCACGCAGGCUGACUUAUAAGUCGGUAGUCUAAUGCGGAGGCUCAACUUCCGUUUAUCUAUCGAUACUGUAAAUCUGGAGUAUGUGAGAGGGAAGCGGAAUUCCCGGUGUAGCGGUGAAAUGCGGAGAUAUCGGGGGGAACACCAGUGGCGAAGGCGGCUUCCUGGCACAAUACUGACGCUACUGUGCAAAAGCUAGGGCAGCGAACGGGAUGUGAUCCCCCGGUAGUCCUAGCCGUAAACGAUGGAUACUAGGUGUGGGUGUCGCAGGGCAUCCGUGCCGCAGUUAACGCGUUAAGUAUCCCGCCUGGGGACUACGGUCGCAAGACUUAAACUCAAAGGAAUUGACGGGG
RNAcentral lists this ribosomal RNA (395 nucleotides) under uncultured bacterium. RNAcentral describes it as "partial 16S ribosomal RNA". It matches the Rfam family "Bacterial small subunit ribosomal RNA", at positions 523 to 918 of the family's 1533-position model. The record is from RNAcentral.